RNA transcript from Equus caballus (horse), 2410 nucleotides. It is a transcript of the gene named zinc finger protein 207, with no coding region annotated. The record is from RefSeq and is a predicted model, not a curated record. NCBI's taxonomy places the organism in Eukaryota, Metazoa, Chordata, Mammalia, Perissodactyla, Equidae.
AUGAUUACUAUGUUUAGCAUCUUUUCAUGUGCUUAUUGACUAUGUAUAUGUCUUUUUUGGAGAAAUGUCUAUUCAAGUCCUUUGCCCAUUUUUGAGUCAGGUUGAUUUUUUGUGGUUGGGUUUUGGAGUUCUCUCUAUAUUCUGGACAUUAAUCCCUUAUCAGAUAUAUUAUUUGCAAAUAUUUCCUCCCAUUCUGUAGUUAUCUUUUUACUCUUUUCAUAGUGUCUUUUAAUGCACAAAAUUCUUAAUUUUCAUGAAGUCCAAUUUAUUUAUUUUUUCUUUUGUUACCUGUAACUUUGUUGUCAUAGCCAAGAAAUCAUUGACAAAUCCAUUGUUGUCUCCAAAGUACUUUUGCAUACCUUAUUUCAUUUGUGCCUCAAAGAUAUGUAAAGGAGAUUUAUUUCAAUUCAGUGAUCAUUUACAGAGUGGGUUUUGUACUAGAUUUUGGGGAAACCAAAGGUAAGACAAGGACCCUGACCUCAAGUAACAUUGGAAUAUACAACCAGAGUGUAAAUAUGAAAACAGUGAUUAGGGGAGAGUCACAGACUACUGGAAUGUGGUAAUGAUAGAUAGCAAUGGCAUUCAUAGUCUGUUUUUGUUAUAUCUUUUUCUUUUUCUUUUUCCCCCCAGUUUUAUUGAGAUAUAAUUCACAUAUAACAUUGUCUAAGUUUAAGGUGUACAAUGUGUUGAUUUGGUAUGUUAUGUUUUUUAUUUCAAGGAAGAAUUGAUGUUUUUUACACCACUUUGAAAUUAUUAUCUCACAAUUUAUAUAGCUGACUUGAUAUACUUUUGAAAGUUAUGUUUUCCAUAGUUAUAAUUUUUUCCUCUGAAAACCCUGAAUGAUAUGUUAAAACAUUCAGCCCGGGCCACCCUCCUUGAUGUUGUCUUUGUGGAAGGAGUGAUUAAUCUAUGUGCAUAAUUUGACUCCUUGCAUCCAAAAUGCAAUUUUAUUUAUUGGAAAUAUUUAAGGUAAUUAAUUCUUUCUAGGCUUGUGUUUUUAUUUUUAGAUCUGAAAAAGAUGAAGAGAAAUAAAAUGUGACAAGUCUAGUGGUUGAAGUAUGUGAAACUUCAAACAUCAAUAAAAACAAAAGCCCUUAAGAUGAAGAACAGAAAAUCUGUGAUUAUUAUCAUUCUUAGCUCCACAGAGGUGUUGAAGUGAUCAGGGUAGCAAUAACAUAAUUAAGUGGAAAUAUAUUUUUAAAAUUCAAGAAAUAGAGAAACCAUUGCUUUAGGGUAUGUCUCUUAUAUACACAGAAAAGUUUGGCUUUUUUCCAGUUAAGAACCAAUGAUGAAUAAAUAGUCCAUUCAUAUUAAUUACACUGAGUGCUCCUUUGAGCAUUCAUACAUAUCGUCUACAUCAUAUACAUAUUACUACAUAAUACAUAAUAAUAGAAAUAAUAUGUAAUACAAAAUAAUACAUGAUUAUACAUAUUAACUACACUGACACAAAUCUGUGUAACAAAAGAAAGUAUACAAAUUUAUUGCAGAUUCUUUUGUUCCUUGUGUAGAAUUCCUUACUUCAUGUGAAAGUGACCCUGGAGCCACUACAACAAAAGCUUUGUUAGGAGUUCGUUUUCUUUUGGAAUGGGCUCUCUGUAUUCUGGUAAUUUAUUCUAACCGAAUAGCAACAAUGGAACUCUUUAGAGCAAUGCUACUGUCAAAUCAGGGAAAGCUAGCUUUCAGGGUGAUCCUGAGGCUCUGCUGUCUCUUUACCAAGGCCAAGUCAAGCUUUUCCACUGGAACUGGCCUUUGGAGGACAGAUUUGCAAUCCCUGGUAGGAGGCGUGUGUUAACAUUGCCUAGUAAUCAUUUCUGUUUGCUUUUGUGGAAUUCAGCUGCAGAUUUUAUCAGUGAUUACCCGUGAUCCCACAUGUGGGGACAUUGUGAGAUUUUUGAUAAUUUUUUGGUAAGUCUCAUGUUGGUACAAUAAUUUGGCUUCCUCUUUUGUGCAGGAUUUGGAAAUGAAAGUGGCAUUCUAUAGUUGAAAGAAGUUUUGUCAUCAGUGAUUUGGGUUCAAAUCCUGACUCUGAGUAGCAGUGUAACUCUGGGCAGCUCUAUCAAGAUUUUGGACAGAGUAUGUCAGAAUCAUGUCUAUAAGAUUCAGUGUGGACUAAUGCAAAGUGAGCCUGGACUGGAAGUCAGAAGAACUGGAUACAAGUUCUAAUGUUAUCUGAGAGCAGGCCUCUGUUAAUAGGUCUUGUUACCGUGGCAGAGACAACGGGAAAAUAUAAGCUAAUCAGAAGCAUUGUGCACAACAAUGAAACCUUGCAACUCUAUGUAUAUUGACGUGUGUGUGGGGGGGCAUAUCAGGUUACUCAAGAUGGCUAAAACUGACUGAAUCAGUAACCUCUAAUCUGUAAAAAACAGCAGACUCCCUAUAAUUCCUUAAAAUAAAUGUGGGUUUGAGAGAC